RNAcentral lists this ribosomal RNA (406 nucleotides) under uncultured bacterium. RNAcentral describes it as "partial 16S ribosomal RNA". It matches the Rfam family "Bacterial small subunit ribosomal RNA", at positions 29 to 526 of the family's 1533-position model. The record is from RNAcentral.
AUUGAACGCUGGCGGCAGGCCUAACACAUGCAAGUCGAACGAGAGGCGGACGGGUGGGUGAUGGCUGGGAAACUGCCCGAUGGAGGGGGAUAACUACUGGAAACGGUAGCUACUACCGCAUACCAUCGGAUGUGCCCAGAUGGGAUUAGCUAGUAGGUGGGGUAACGGCACACCUAGGAGACGAUCCCUAGCUGGUCUGAGAGGAUGACGAGCCACACUGGAACUGAGACACGGUCCAGACUCCUACGGGAGGCAGCAGUGGGGAAUAUUGCGCAAUGGGCGAAAGCCUGAUGAAGCCAUGCCGCGUGAAUGAAGAAGGUCUUCGGGUUGUAAAGCACUUUCAGCGAGGAGGCGUUACUCGAAGAAGAAGCACCGGCUAACUCCGUGCCAGGAGCCGCGGUAAUAC